AUUGAACGCUGGCGGCGUGCUUAACACAUGCAAGUCGAGCGGUAACAGGCGUAGCAAUACGUGCUGACGAGCGGCGAACGGGUGCGUAAUACAUCGGAAUCUGCCUAGUAGUGGGGAAUAACCCGGCGAAAGCCGGGCUAAUGCCGCAUACGAUCCACGGAUGAAAGCGGGGGACUUUCGGGCCUCGCGCUAUUAGAUGAGCCGAUGCCGGAUUAGCUAGUUGGNGAGGUAACGGGCUCACCAAAGGCGACGAUCCGUAGCUGGUCUGAGGAGGACGGCCAGCCACACUGGGACUGAGACACGGCCCAGACUCCUACGGGAGGCAGCAGGUGGGAAGUAUUGGACAAGUGGGGGAAACCCGUGAUCCAGCGACGCCGCGUGUGUGAAGAAGG
This 392-nucleotide ribosomal RNA is filed under the name uncultured bacterium. Its description in RNAcentral is "bacterial SSU rRNA". It matches the Rfam family "Bacterial small subunit ribosomal RNA", at positions 29 to 414 of the family's 1533-position model. The record is from RNAcentral.